AACGAACGCUGGCGGCGUGCCUAACACAUGCAAGUCGAGCGCGAAAAGGGCAACCUGAGUAGAGCGGCGCACGGGUGCGUAACACGUGGGUAAUCUGCCUCAAAGCCUGGGAUAACCUUCCGAAAGGUUGGCUAAUACCGGAUAAGCUCGCGGGGUCUUCGGACUCUGCGGGAAAAAGUGGCCUCUAUUUAUAAGCCAUUACUUUGAGAUGAGCCCGCGGCCCAUCAGCUAGUUGGAGGGUAAUGGCCUACCAAGGCGACGAUCGGUAGCCGGCCUGAGAGGGUGAUCGGCCACACUGGAACUGAGACACGGUCCAGACUCCUACGGGAGGCAGCAGUGGGGAAUUUUGCGCAAUGGGCUAACGCCUGACGCAGCAACGCCGCGUGGAGGAUGAAGACCU
This 400-nucleotide ribosomal RNA is filed under the name uncultured bacterium. RNAcentral describes it as "bacterial SSU rRNA". It matches the Rfam family "Bacterial small subunit ribosomal RNA", at positions 29 to 417 of the family's 1533-position model. The record is from RNAcentral.